Non-coding RNA from Sus scrofa (pig), 4724 nucleotides. Lineage: Eukaryota; Metazoa; Chordata; Mammalia; Artiodactyla; Suidae. The record is from RefSeq and is a predicted model, not a curated record.
UUUGUAGAUAACCAAUCUUAAAUUCUAGAGAGCACCAUGAAAGUCUUGGAAGACCUAGCAUGGGCACAGAAUAAGCAAUGUACAACAGCGUUAUUGACAAUGAGUUCAGAAGCUCGGACUUGUCCAGAGGGACAGAAGGAAAGAUGGGAUUCAUCCUGAUGCUCUCUUAGAGGAAGGUCUGGGACCAGACCAAAUCGUCACCAUCUUCCGGAUCUGGCUUCACAGGCAAUUUGUGGUGCUUAGACUAAGGUGAGCAGGGGAGGGGUGGUCUUUCCAGGACCUCGCUGAACUUUGGAAGAAGAGCAGAAUGGAGGAAGGAGGUCUUAACGGGAGUUAGCUCAAUAGUCGUCCCUUAAAUCCUGUCGCAGAAUCAUUAGUAUUUGCUGAUCCUGCUCCAAAGAAAUAGUCAGAUAGACUCGAGGCAUCCAGUUAAUCCUACCGCCUCCCACCAUUGAAACACCACACUGUCAAAGGUUAAUUGAAUUAUAGAAAGAUGUUAUAAAGAUCUCUCAUAUUUGGGAACUGCUUUAAAAAUGUUUAAAUUCUUUCCUCUAUUUUGUUUCACAUGAGCUUCCUAACAAUCUUUGGAAGUACUCAGGGCAAGGAUUUUUUAUCUCCAUUGGAUGGGGGGAGAAAUGGGGACCAGGAGGGUGAACUGAUCUGCUCCACAGCACACGGCUCGGUGAUAGGAAAACUAGUUCCAGAAGUGACGUUUUCUGAUGCCACCUUUGGCGCACUUUCCGCUCCAGCACUGUGCCUACUUUCAAAGCAGUCUCGGUUCAGCUCAACCCCCGACCUUUUUCAGCCUUCCUGUGCCGGUGGCUGUCCAGGAAAGCCUUGCCGAUAACCUAGGCAUUGCUUUUUCCUGGGAUGUCAGAUGUAAACCAUUUUUAUCUUUUUUGCUUCUGAUUUCACAAACACAGCCUUCCAUUUCCAAAUCACACGUAAAAUCCACUGCCCCGUGAAGCUGAUAUGUUUGUAAGGAGCAAUGUGAAGUAAAUCAACUGAAAUCAAAAUUUCCAUCUGUGUAUUUUUGUUGGCUCAGAACAAAGCUGUGGAAAUUCCAAGACUCCCAUAGAAAAAAACGGGAAAAUCUUGCCCGUGAUUUGCCACAGUGCCGCUAAAAUAGGACUUGAAGAAAAUAUCCUGUUGGUGAAGUUUUGGUGCCAGGAGAAACAGGGUAAAUACUAAAGGGAUUAAAAUGUUGGAAAAGGAAGUUAUAACAAAAAUUGCAAAGGCCUUAUGGAGAUUAAAAAUAUUUUCUAAACAUUUUCCGGGCAGCCUUUUAAGACUCCCCAAGGGAAGCACAUAAAUAAGGGAGAAAUGCUGAAGGUCCAAACGAAAGCAGACAGCUUUGACCUAAAACAUUUCCCACUUGAAGGAUUCAGGCACCUAAGAAUCAGUGGAUUCCGUUAUUUCCUCCAAACCGAGAUGCAGGCCACCUGCCGAUGAGAAUAACCUUCCUAAGCCAGACGACACAGGGCAGCCUGACGUGGUCUAUGCCUCUCUGGAUUCUGCAGGAGUAGAGGUGGAGCCAGCAAUUUUACCUUCUUCUCAGGGGUGCUGUUCAGAUUGGCAAACUGGACAAAACUUAGUAAUUGGGCUGAGUAACGCAUCUUCAAAGCAGUGAAUCCAGAAAGCCCACUGCGAAGGUCUCUUGGCCCAGUGUUUCCAGACCGUAAAUGAGAUGUUUGUGUUGGAAGAGAUCUGAAGAGCAUCCAGUCUUGCGGUUCUCAACCCCAGAGAGGUGGUCAGAUGCUCUGUAUGAGACCUUCGCUCAAGUGACUGGCGGCAUAGCUAUUGACUACAAGGGCUGAUUGUCCAAAAAGCCAUGGAGGAAAUUUUCCUAAAAGUCAUAGGGUUAGAUGGUGGAUGGAAGGAUCAAAACCCACUACAGUACGGAAUCACAGUCUCUUAGGAAAGGCUCACAGGAUUUAAAAAGUCCACUCCCUAGACAGACACACCUGCAUCCCAGGAGCAUCUAAGAGAAGUCUCUCCCCGCCCCCCUUCUUCCAAGCUGAGAUCCCAUCCUUGCUCUUGAAGAAGUAAGCUUCCACAGUGAGCUCAAAGACAGGGUCUCCCUUGUAAGAGGAUGCUUUGAUUUAGAUUUGAAGUUCAAAGCCCCCAUAAAAGAUAGAAAUGUCCACGUAAGAAUGUCUGGAAUGGCUGUAUCAGGCUUUCUUGAGGACUGAGAACCUCUUGUUGAUAAGAGAGGUAUUGCAAUGUGGUCCCUGGGACUGCCGUGUGACAGGAUCGGAAGAAUGUGACAGCUUCGUGUGGAAUGACAUUAAAAAUCAGCAAAUGUAUACAAAAUGACUAAGUGAAUUACAAAAUAUAAUUGUUCUAAUGCUCAGAUUGUCAUUAAGUUUUUAUAAAAUAUUUUUGAGGCAGCUCAAAAUAAGAUGGCUUUACUCUAUUUUCUUUUCCCAGCAGAUUUAAAUCGAGCUUUCCUCUUUGCAAGCCCCUGGUGCCAAGCCUUCCAUAUGUCUCACAUAUCAGGGGUACCAAUGAAAAGCUUUAUUGCCCUUUCCUAGACCUAUCCUCAGGAGCUAGUCGUCUUUCUGGAAAUUUACCGUAAGACCUGUGCCAGCAAGUUUCAUGCAUUGGAUGGUCCCUGAUUUUAGUCAGGAGGUCCUAUUUCCAGUACACCAGGAAACAGUUCAAUGAUAUCACCUAGAGUUAUCUUCGGCCAACAGGGAACUUGUAUAUCCCCCUUCACUAUCUUUGCUAAUUACCCUGCCUUCACAAUGGAGGGAGUGAUUAGAAAAGCCCACAGGAACUGUACUACAACAAAUCUAACCCACUUUCCAGUUGCAGAAUAGGACAAGCUUGUGGGGCAACGUGACUCAGUGACCAUAGACCUCUCAGUGUCUGAUCUCUCCAUUUUUUUUCACCUCUUAAACGGUGAUGAUAAUGACAGCUUUACGUAUAAGAAAAAGUGGCCAACCCCUCUCCCCCAGACCAGAGGAUUUUAAAUAUGUUCUAGUCUUAUCAGCAGUUCUACUCCUGGAUCAGAAUUAUAAUCAUGAGUCCAAUGAAAGAGGUUCUUAAGGGUCAUAUCCAUGGAAAUCGACUUUAGCAUAUUUUGGAGUAAGGUAACUUGAGGUACUGGGUCCACAACACUGGGAGAGUGUGAAGAGAAGGUUAGUUAUUUUCACAUAAAUGUACCGUAGGGGGAAUGUACACUUUAUGUAGUAAAGGGACUAAAUGUACACACAGAACAUGGAUGAAUCUUAACUACAUGGUCCUAAGGAAAAGAAAAUUUUAAAGUAAAUAGAAAUAUAAAACAUGAUAUUAUUUUUGUAAAUUAAAUGUGGACAAAGAUAUAUGCAUUUUGCAAGACACACAUGAACAAAAAGACACACGUUGACCACAUUAGAAUGGCUACUGGUUGGGAGCUGAAAUGGGAAUGAGCGACACAAAUAAAACGGAAAAAAUUUAAACAUAAAAGUGGAGUCUUGCUUUGGCCAGUGUUGAUAAUGUGCCACUAACUGAGGGAACCAUGAGCUUAACCUUCUGCCUCUGAUGUCCAGAAGGGACAGAAAAAUAUCAUAUGAAUGGUAGUUGUUAAGAAGGUAAUUGUUAUCACCCACUCCAAACUCUUCAUCUCCUUCUUUUGACUCUUCAUUGAAGAAAGAAUUUGCUUUCCUCUGAUCCAUGUUCAUUCACUAUAUAAUGAGUCUUCCAUUAGCGAAACAUAUGAAUAACUCAUUUAUAUUGUUUUUUGGAUCUCGUUGUCUUAAUCACUAAUAUUCUUUUUUAUUACUGGAUGGAAAGAAAGGCUUAAAAUAAAAGGCUCGCUCCUUUAUGGUGGAAUUUAAUGCCAAGGCAAAUGGGCAGACUCUUGGAAGGUAGGGUGGGACCUCCACUGGCACCAGGUCACAGAGGUCAGAGAUCAUCAGAGAUCUGUGACUGAAGAUUGAACAUUGAUUAAGAUCUCAUGUAAUUCAAGGAAAAUACCACACAUCGCUAAUUAUUCUCUUCUCUCUUUGAAAGGUGGCUUCAAUUAGAAAAUUUCCGGUCAAAGUGGUCCCUCCACCAUUCUUCCCCAACACACACACACACACCACACACACACACCCCCAAUUAUUCAGUGAAUGUGUCUACUUUGACCUAUUAACACCUUCGUGAUUUUGUGAGCAGAAUGAUACAGGAGAAAUGAAAGAGUUGAAUAACUCGACCUUGGAGAUAACACAUGAAAGACUGAUUUAGGUAAAAUACAGUUUACUGGAUGCACUGUCCAGUUUCUUGCCCAAUAAAAUCUCUCCCACCAGGCACCCUCGCACUGCCAAGUCAUGUGGUCUACCCCCACGAAGGCAGGGAAGGAGUUAGAAUGAGAGGCUUUUAUGUAUUAACAAAAGGGCAGGUGUUUGUAGGUGUACUGCGGAGGUGGCUCCUGACGUUUCUUAUUCCGUGGAUUAUGUUUAACUUGUCACCUUGUCAUCUUUCUUUUGUGUUUCUUAUAUUCCCCCUUUAACAUCUUCACCUUGUUUUACUGACUCUUUUGUUCUAUGCGAUGUUAGGGUCAUCAAGGUUUCAUAGCCAUUGUCAAGACUCUGUCAUUUUUUUUUUUUUUCAGGAAAAUUCAGUCACUGUACUUGUCCCCUUCUACCUGGUAACUUCUUUGUGAAGUUUAAAGUGUUGCAGACACACUUCUUGCUCUUUGCUCAAUUUCGAUUACUCAGUCUCCCAGAUGUUCUAAGGCAAUGAAGGAGCAUAAUAUC